CUUUCUCUCACUUGUGAUACUCUUCUCUCUGCAGCUUCUCUGGCGUUUUCUAGGGUUUUCUCCCUGAGAGUUUCUCUGUGCUCCGGCUUGAGAUCUUCUUCCUCCAUCUUCAUCCUAUGUGUGUACAUGCUAUGUGGACUACGCACUUAAGGGUGAUCAACUUGUGCUUUUAGGCCCAUAUCCUAGCACAACACUUGUGUUUCUGAAGGAAGAUGAAGUCCUUCUGUAACGCCCCACUUUUCGAACCAUAAAAUUUUUGCAUUAAAUGCUUUUAAUGUCGUGAAGUAUGUGGAUUACAUGAUGAGUGAAAUUAUUAAAUGAUUUUCUAUGGUGACCUAAUUUUGGUUGGAAUAAGAAUUUGGAUUGACUGAGUCAAUUCCGUUGGAUA
Molecule: non-coding RNA, 388 nt
Organism: Salvia hispanica
Lineage: Eukaryota; Viridiplantae; Streptophyta; Magnoliopsida; Lamiales; Lamiaceae
Source: RefSeq, a predicted model, not a curated record